RNAcentral lists this ribosomal RNA (185 nucleotides) under uncultured bacterium. RNAcentral's name for it is "partial 16S ribosomal RNA". It matches the Rfam family "Bacterial small subunit ribosomal RNA", at positions 1315 to 1500 of the family's 1533-position model. The record is from RNAcentral.
CCUGCAUGAAGUCGGAAUUGCUAGUAAUCNCGGAUCAGCAUGCCGCGGUGAAUACGUUCCCGGGCCUUGUACACACCGCCCGUCACACCAUGGGAGCCGGUAAUACCCGAAGUCAGUAGUCCAACCUCGUGAGGACGCUGCCGAAGGUAGGAUUGGCGACUGGGGUGAAGUCGUAACAAGGUAGC